Molecule: transfer RNA, 88 nt
Filed under: Magnetofaba australis IT-1
Lineage: Bacteria; Pseudomonadati; Pseudomonadota; Magnetococcia; Magnetococcales; Magnetococcaceae
Rfam family: tRNA
About the family: Transfer RNA (tRNA) molecules are approximately 80 nucleotides in length. Their secondary structure includes four short double-helical elements and three loops (D, anti-codon, and T loops).
Source: Rfam by way of RNAcentral
GGAGAGAUGACCGAGUGGUUGAAGGUGCACGCCUGGAAAGCGUGUGUGUCCUAACCGGGCACCGAGGGUUCGAAUCCCUCUCUCUCCG